Molecule: ribosomal RNA, 399 nt
Filed under: uncultured bacterium
Lineage: Bacteria
Description: bacterial SSU rRNA
Rfam family: Bacterial small subunit ribosomal RNA
Source: RNAcentral
GAAUCUUGCGCAAUGGGCGAAAGCCUGACGCAGCAACGCCGCGUGGGGGAUGAAGGCUCUCGGGUUGUAAACCCCUUUCAGCAGGGACGAAAUUGACGGUACCUGCAGAAGAAGCCCCGGCUAACUACGUGCCAGCAGCCGCGGUAACACGUAGGGGGCAAGCGUUGUCCGGAUUUAUUGGGCGUAAAGAGCUCGUAGGUGGCUAAGUAAGUCGGAUGUUAAAUCCCCAGGCUCAACCUGGGACACCACCCGAUACUGCUUUGGCUAGAGUCCGGUAGGGGAGCGUGGAAUUCCUGGUGUAGCGGUGAAAUGCGCAGAUAUCAGGAGGAACACCAGCGGCAAAGGCGGCGCUCUGGGCCGGUACUGACACUGAGGAGCGAAAGCGUGGGUAGCAAACAG